This 348-nucleotide unclassified non-coding RNA is filed under the name soil metagenome. RNAcentral describes it as "partial contains 5.8S ribosomal RNA, internal transcribed spacer 2, and large subunit ribosomal RNA". The stretch from base 1 to 120 matches the Rfam family "5.8S ribosomal RNA", at positions 35 to 154 of the family's 154-position model. The record is from RNAcentral.
GAUGAAGAACGUAGCGAAACGCGAUAGGUAAUGUGAAUUGCAGAAUUCAGUGAAUCAUCGAAUCUUUGAACGCACAUUGCGCCCGCCAGUAUUCUGGCGGGCAUGCCUGUCUGAGCGUCAUUUCAACCCUCAUGCCCCUAGGGCGUGGUGUUGGGGAUCGGCCAAAGCCCGCGAGGGACGGCCGGCCCCUAAAUCUAGUGGCGGACCCGUCGUGGCCUCCUCUGCGAAGUAGUGAUAUUCCGCAUCGGAGAGCGACGAGCCCCUGCCGUUAAACCCCCAACUUUCCAAGGUUGACCUCAGAUCAGGUAGGAAUACCCGCUGAACUUAAGCAUAUCAAUAAGCGGAGGA